AGUGAACGCUGGCGGUAGGCCUAACACAUGCAAGUCGAACGGCAGCACAGUAAGAGCUUGCUCUUACGGGUGGCGAGUGGCGGACGGGUGAGGAAUACAUCGGAAUCUACUUUUUCGUGGGGGAUAACGUAGGGAAACUUACGCUAAUACCGCAUACGACCUACGGGUGAAAGCAGGGGAUCUUCGGACCUUGCGCGAUUGAAUGAGCCGAUGUGGGAUUAGCUAGUUGGCGGGGUAAAGGCCCACCAAGGCGACGAUCCGUAGCUGGUCUGAGAGGAUGAUCAGCCACACUGGAACUGAGACACGCUCCAGACUCCUACGGGAGGCAGCAGUGGGGAAUAUUGGACAAUGGGCGCAAGCCUGAUCCAGCCAUACCGCGUGGGUGAAGAAGGCCUUCGGGUUGUAAAGCCCUUUUGUUGGGAAAGAAAAGCAGCAGGUUAAUACCCCGCUGUUCUGACGGUACCCAAAGAAUAAGCACCGGCUAACUUCGUG
Molecule: ribosomal RNA, 492 nt
Filed under: uncultured bacterium
Lineage: Bacteria
Description: partial 16S ribosomal RNA
Rfam family: Bacterial small subunit ribosomal RNA
Source: RNAcentral